RNAcentral lists this ribosomal RNA (418 nucleotides) under uncultured bacterium. RNAcentral describes it as "partial 16S ribosomal RNA". It matches the Rfam family "Bacterial small subunit ribosomal RNA", at positions 355 to 766 of the family's 1533-position model. The record is from RNAcentral.
UGGGGAAUAUUGCACAAUGGGCGCAAGCCUGAUGCAGCCAUGCCGCGUGUGUGAAGAAGGCCUUCGGGUUGUAAAGCACUUUCAGCGAGGAGGAAGGUGGUGAGCUUAAUACGCUCAUCAAUUGACGUUACUCGCAGAAGAAGCACCGGCUAACUCCGUGCCAGCAGCCGCGGUAAUACGGAGGGUGCAAGCGUUAAUCGGAAUUACUGGCGUAAGACGCACGCAGGCGGUUUGUUAAGUCAGAUGUGAAAUCCCCGGGCUCAACCUGGGAACUGCAUUUGAAACUGGCAAGCUAGAGUCUCGUAGAGGGGGGUAGAAUUCCAGGUGUAGCGGUGAAAUGCGUAGAGAUCUGGAGGAAUACCGGUGGCGAAGGCGGCCCCCUGGACGAAGACUGACGCUCAGGUGCGAAAGCGUGGGG